This 364-nucleotide ribosomal RNA is filed under the name uncultured bacterium. RNAcentral's name for it is "bacterial SSU rRNA". It matches the Rfam family "Archaeal small subunit ribosomal RNA", at positions 726 to 1085 of the family's 1478-position model. The record is from RNAcentral.
AGAAAAUAGAUACCCAGGUAGUCCCAGCCGUAAACGAUGCUCGCUAGGUGUCAGGCAUGGCGCGACCGUGUCUGGUGCCGCAGGGAAGCCGUGAAGCGAGCCACCUGGGAAGUACGGCCGCAAGGCUGAAACUUAAAGGAAUUGGCGGGGAGCACAACAACGGGUGGAGCCUGCGGUUUAAUUGGACUCAACGCCGGACAACUCACCGGGGGUCGACAGCAAUAUGUAGGCCAGGCUGAAGACCUUGCCUGAAUCGCUGAGAGGAGGUGCAUGGCCGUCGCCAGUUCGUACUGUGAAGCAUCCUGUUAAGUCAGGCAACGAGCGAGACCCGUGCCCACUGUUACCAGCAUGUCCUGGUACGGAU